ACACUCGUGGUGAAGUGGUUAUCAUGCUUGCCUUCCAUUUCAGUGUUACGCUAUGAGCGGUUAGCAAGCGGCACGGGUUCGAUUCCCGUCGAGUGUA
Transfer RNA from Stereum hirsutum FP-91666 SS1, 97 nucleotides. It matches the Rfam family "tRNA". Rfam says of the family: Transfer RNA (tRNA) molecules are approximately 80 nucleotides in length. Their secondary structure includes four short double-helical elements and three loops (D, anti-codon, and T loops). NCBI's taxonomy places the organism in Eukaryota, Fungi, Basidiomycota, Agaricomycetes, Russulales, Stereaceae. The record is from Rfam.